This 600-nucleotide ribosomal RNA is filed under the name Aspergillus niger. RNAcentral's name for it is "eukaryotic LSU rRNA". The stretch from base 217 to 370 matches the Rfam family "5.8S ribosomal RNA". The record is from RNAcentral. Lineage: Eukaryota; Fungi; Ascomycota; Eurotiomycetes; Eurotiales; Aspergillaceae.
UCCGUAGGUGAACCUGCGGAAGGAUCAUUACCGAGUGCGGGUCCUUUGGGCCCAACCUCCCAUCCGUGUCUAUUGUACCCUGUUGCUUCGGCGGGCCCGCCGCUUGUCGGCCGCCGGGGGGGCGCCUCUGCCCCCCGGGCCCGUGCCCGCCGGAGACCCCAACACGAACACUGUCUGAAAGCGUGCAGUCUGAGUUGAUUGAAUGCAAUCAGUUAAAACUUUCAACAAUGGAUCUCUUGGUUCCGGCAUCGAUGAAGAACGCAGCGAAAUGCGAUAACUAAUGUGAAUUGCAGAAUUCAGUGAAUCAUCGAGUCUUUGAACGCACAUUGCGCCCCCUGGUAUUCCGGGGGGCAUGCCUGUCCGAGCGUCAUUGCUGCCCUCAAGCCCGGCUUGUGUGUUGGGUCGCCGUCCCCCUCUCCGGGGGGACGGGCCCGAAAGGCAGCGGCGGCACCGCGUCCGAUCCUCGAGCGUAUGGGGCUUUGUCACAUGCUCUGUAGGAUUGGCCGGCGCCUGCCGACGUUUUCCAACCAUUCUUUCCAGGUUGACCUCGGAUCAGGUAGGGAUACCCGCUGAACUUAAGCAUAUCAAUAAGCGGAGGAA